RNAcentral lists this ribosomal RNA (678 nucleotides) under Salmonella enterica subsp. enterica. RNAcentral describes it as "partial 23S ribosomal RNA". It matches the Rfam family "Bacterial large subunit ribosomal RNA", at positions 550 to 1230 of the family's 2925-position model. Lineage: Bacteria; Pseudomonadati; Pseudomonadota; Gammaproteobacteria; Enterobacterales; Enterobacteriaceae. The record is from RNAcentral.
CUGAAACCGUGUACGUACAAGCAGUGGGAGCACCCUUUGGGUGUGACUGCGUACCUUUUGUAUAAUGGGUCAGCGACUUAUAUUCUGUAGCAAGGUUAACCGAAUAGGGGAGCCGGAGGGAAACCGAGUCUUAACCGGGCGUUAAGUUGCAGGGUAUAGACCCGAAACCCGGUGAUCUAGCCAUGGGCAGGUUGAAGGUUGGGUAACACUAACUGGAGGACCGAACCGACUAAUGUUGAAAAAUUAGCGGAUGACCUGUGGCUGGGGGUGAAAGGCCAAUCAAACCGGGAGAUAGCUGGUUCUCCCCGAAAGCUAUUUAGGUAGCGCCUCGUGAAUUCAUCUCCGGGGGUAGAGCACUGUUUCGGCUAGGGGGCCAUCCCGGCUUACCAACCCGAUGCAAACUGCGAAUACCGGAGAAUGUUAUCACGGGAGACACACGGCGGGUGCUAACGUCCGUCGUGAAGAGGGAAACAACCCAGACCGCCAGCUAAGGUCCCAAAGUCAUGGUUAAGUGGGAAACGAUGUGGGAAGGCCCAGACAGCCAGGAUGUUGGCUUAGAAGCAGCCAUCAUUUAAAGAAAGCGUAAUAGCUCACUGGUCGAGUCGGCCUGCGCGGAAGAUGUAACGGGGCUAAACCAUGCACCGAAGCUGCGGCAGCGACACUGUGUGUUGUUGGGUA